AUUCAGAUGAAGAGUCCUGAAUAGGACGAAUCAUGCGUCCUGGAU
This 45-nucleotide non-coding RNA is filed under the name Schistosoma margrebowiei. The record is from RNAcentral. Lineage: Eukaryota; Metazoa; Platyhelminthes; Trematoda; Strigeidida; Schistosomatidae.